RNAcentral lists this ribosomal RNA (253 nucleotides) under uncultured bacterium. Its description in RNAcentral is "partial 16S ribosomal RNA". It matches the Rfam family "Bacterial small subunit ribosomal RNA", at positions 524 to 776 of the family's 1533-position model. The record is from RNAcentral.
UACGUAGGGUGCAAGCGUUGUCCGGAAUUAUUGGGCGUAAAGAGCUCGUAGGCGGUUUGUCGCGUCUGCUGUGAAAACUCGGGGCUUAACCCCGGGCCUGCAGUGGGUACGGGCAGACUAGAGUGCGGUAGGGGAGACUGGAAUUCCUGGUGUAGCGGUGAAAUGCGCAGAUAUCGGAAGGAACACCAGUGGCGAAAGCGGCUUCCUGGUCCAGCAUCGACGUUCAGGCACGAAAGCGUGGGGAGCAAACAGG